UGUGACAUACCUACUGUUGCUUCGGCGGGAUUGCCCCGGGCGCCUCGUGUGCCCCGGAUCAGGCGCCCGCCUAGGAAACUUAAUUCUUGUUUUAUUUUGGAAUCUUCUGAGUAGUUUUUACAAAUAAAUAAAAACUUUCAACAACGGAUCUCUUGGUUCUGGCAUCGAUGAAGAACGCAGCGAAAUGCGAUAAGUAAUGUGAAUUGCAGAAUUCAGUGAAUCAUCGAAUCUUUGAACGCACAUUGCGCCCGCCAGUAUUCUGGCGGGCAUGCCUGUCUGAGCGUCAUUUCAACCCUCAUGCCCCUAGGGCGUGGUGUUGGGGAUCGGCCAAAGCCCGCGAGGGACGGCCGGCCCCUAAAUCUAGUGGCGGACCCGUCGUGGCCUCCUCUGCGAAGUAGUGAUAUUCCGCAUCGGAGAGCGACGAGCCCCUGCCGUUAAACCCCCAACUUUCCAAGGUUGACCUCAGAUCAGGUAGGAAUACCCGCUGAACUUAAGCAUA
RNAcentral lists this ribosomal RNA (499 nucleotides) under Clonostachys sp. XAE_163. RNAcentral describes it as "eukaryotic LSU rRNA". The stretch from base 133 to 286 matches the Rfam family "5.8S ribosomal RNA". Lineage: Eukaryota; Fungi; Ascomycota; Sordariomycetes; Hypocreales; Bionectriaceae. The record is from RNAcentral.